UCUAAGAUGCAUCCAUUUUAUAGAAUGAAAGACUUUAUGAUACACAAGCAUUGAAAACAGAGAGGUUAAAAAUAUUAAAACACACAAUGUAAUGUUCCAAUACCAAAGCAAAAUCAAUACAUUCGAAAUUCAAGAAUACUACUACCACAAUCUGUAGGAGUAUCACAUACAUUCAAAAUAAGUAUCUACAAGAUACUCCAAGAUGCAUCUAUUUCAUAACAUGACAGACUUAUUAUACAUACAAACACCAAAAGAGAGAUAAUAAGUGUUUUAAACUCACAAUGUAAUGUCCCUAUAGCCAAAGUAAAAUCUACCUUUUCUCCGUAUAUGAUGCAGAAUUCUAGGAUUUCAUUCACAUGUUUAUAACAAUCACGAAAGGUUUAGAGCAUAACGCAAAACACAUACUUUCAAGAUUCAAGGAAAUUACAAUCAAAAUCUGCAGAAAUCGCACAUAUGUCAAAUAAAUAUCUACAAGAGACUCUCAAAUGCAUCCAUUUUAUAGAAUGAAAGACUUUAUGAUACACAAGCAUUGAAAACAGAGAGGUUAAAAAUAUUAAAACACACAACGUUAUGUUCCAAUACCAAAUCAAAAUCAAUACAUUCGAGAUUCAAGAAUACUACUACCAUAAUCUGCAAGAGUAUCACAUACAUUCGAAAUAAGUAUCUACAAGAUACUCCAAAAUGCAUCUAUUUCAUAACAUGACAAACUUAUUAUACAUACAAACACAAAAACAGAGAUAAUAAGUGUUUUAAACUCAUAUAGCCAAAGUAAAAUCUACCUUUUCUCCUUAUAUGAUGCAGAAUUCUAGGAUUUCAUUCACAUGUUUAUAAAAGUCAUGAAAGGUUUAGAGCAUAACGCAAAACAAAUACUUUCAAGAUUAAAGGAAAUUACAAUCAAAAUAUGCAGAAAUAGCACAUAUGUCAAAUAAAUAUCUAUAAGAAACUCUAAGAUGCAUCCAUUUUAUAGAAUGAGAGACCUUAUGAUACACAAGCAUUGAAAACAAAGAGAAUCAAAAUUUUAAAACACAAUAUAAUGUUCCAAUACCCAAAGCAAAAUCUACAUUUUUUUAUCAAUGAUAUGUUAGCAAAUAAGUUCAUAAAAUUUGAAAGAUAGAUCAAGGACAGUAAUGCUAUUGAGGCAGCUAAUAUAAAAAAAACAUUUUAAAUUAUGAAUGGUGCUUAGACCUGCAUUUCCAAUUUCUUUAAUUCUAAUAUGUAAAUUUUCACAUGUAAUAAAAUAAUUUUAUCACUGGAAAAUCGCAAAAAGCUUAUAUACCUGGUAAUAAAUUCUGAUACUCUUAGAAAUCUCCUUGGUUGGAAGAAAAAGAAAAAAAAAAAAGAAAUCUCCUUGGCAUCACGGAAAAAUUAACACCUUUUGAGGCACAAACCUGAGCAAAUCAAAAUUAGUCUAUACUUCACGUAUGUGUCUCUCACUUGUGAUUUUCUUAAUUGUAUCAACAAAUUACAAACAAGUUUGAAAAGAAAAUAAACACAUAAACAAAAAGGUUUGAAAACAUAUACCUGUUAAAGAAGUUUGCUACACUUGAAAUCUCCUUGAACACCUUCAAAAGCACAUAUCUGAGGAAAUAAGAAUCUUCCUAUAACAAAAGUAAAUCCAAAACAAUUAGUAAAUUUGUAAAAUUAACCGAUCUACAAACAAAAGUUAAAUUCAUCCCUCAACAUGUAUUGUUUUUGUUCAGAUUAAGAGGAUUCAGAUUUGAUAUACAAAGGAAAACAUUGAUACUCUCUAUGUUCUCGUCAACACUAAAAAUCAAUCUAUGAAACCCAAAUAUCUCUCUUUUGUCAUGGAGCGAAUUCAAACAUGACAUCAGAUCUACUUCUAGGGAUAGUAGAGACUUACGGUAUUGCCCUGUGUUCAUUGAAAAACUCUUUCAAGUGCCUCAUGUGUCACUGAGUUGUAACUUCUUUCUCUCAUGCUCUAGCUGUGACACAACAAAACUGUAUUAAUAUCAGAUGAAACGCAAAUAUUACAUUUACGGUACUUCUAGGGAUAGUAAAGACUUACGGUAUUGCCCUGUGUUCAUUGAACAACUCCUUCAAGUGCCUCAUGUGUCACUAAGUUGCAAAUUCUUCCUCUCAUGCUCCAGCUGUGAGACAACAAAAAUGAAACGAAAAUACUACAUUUACUACUUGGUAUAGACACUUACCACAGUCUUUACUCGAUCAUUGACAUCACGGUUUCCACGGAAGACACAAUCCAGCAUUAAGAGCAUGUCUUUGUUAUCUGACCGUACAUAAAGCCUGAAAUCCAACAUCACAUAACAUUCAAUCAAAUAGAGUAGAUGUUAAAAUUCAAUAAAAUGAUAACUAGCAUAAUCAUACAACAAUUUUUCACCACCGGUUCUUAAUUUGCAAAACAGGGAGAUCUCAACGUAAGUAGGAAAACACUGAAACAGGGAAAUCUUAAUUGCAAAACAGGAAAACUCAGAAACUCUCU
RNAcentral lists this long non-coding RNA (2458 nucleotides) under Arabidopsis lyrata. RNAcentral describes it as "long non-coding RNA (ALYR_LNC002021)". Lineage: Eukaryota; Viridiplantae; Streptophyta; Magnoliopsida; Brassicales; Brassicaceae. The record is from RNAcentral.